This 269-nucleotide long non-coding RNA is filed under the name Mytilus galloprovincialis (Mediterranean mussel). The record is from RNAcentral. Lineage: Eukaryota; Metazoa; Mollusca; Bivalvia; Mytilida; Mytilidae.
CAUUGUUAGGGAGCUACCAUUUGAUUUUUAUGGGGGGGCUAGGAUGAAAUUUGAAAAAAAAUAGGCAGGACAGGAGUUUUGAGUAAAAAAAAAAGGCAGGAUGUGACACUUGCCAAAAAAAAAAGUCAGGACGGCAAUUUAAGUAUAAAAAAGUCAGGAUAAACUAAAAAAAACCAGGCAGGACCGAUUAGAGUGAAAAAUAAAAAGGCAGGACAGAGAUUACAGCUAAAAAAAAUGCAGGACAACAUUUUUCAUCCUAGCCCUCCCCA